This 296-nucleotide ribosomal RNA is filed under the name uncultured Ohtaekwangia sp. RNAcentral's name for it is "partial 16S ribosomal RNA". It matches the Rfam family "Bacterial small subunit ribosomal RNA", at positions 505 to 801 of the family's 1533-position model. Lineage: Bacteria; Pseudomonadati; Bacteroidota; Cytophagia; Cytophagales; Fulvivirgaceae. The record is from RNAcentral.
GUGCCAGCCGCCGCGGUAAUACGUAGGUGGCGAGCGUUGUCCGGAUUUAUUGGGUUUAAAGGGUGCGUAGGCGGCCAGAUAAGUCAGUGCUGAAAUACCCCGGGCUUAACCGGGGGGUGGCAUUGAUACUGUUUGGCUUGAGUACAGAUGAGGUAGGCGGAAUUGACGGUGUAGCGGUGAAAUGCAUAGAUAUCGUCAAGAACACCGAUAGCGAAGGCAGCUUACUAAGUUGUAACUGACGCUGAUGCACGAAAGUGUGGGAUCAAACAGGAUUAGAUACCCUGGUAGUCCACACU